RNAcentral lists this ribosomal RNA (253 nucleotides) under uncultured bacterium. RNAcentral's name for it is "partial 16S ribosomal RNA". It matches the Rfam family "Bacterial small subunit ribosomal RNA", at positions 524 to 776 of the family's 1533-position model. The record is from RNAcentral.
UACGAAGGGGGCUAGCGUUGCUCGGAAUCACUGGGCGUAAAGCGCACGUAGGCGGCUUUUUAAGUCAGGGGUGAAAUCCUGGAGCUCAACUCCAGAACUGCCUUUGAUACUGGAGAGCUUGAGUCCGGGAGAGGUGAGUGGAAUUCUCGGUGUAGAGGUGAAAUUCGUAGAUAUCGAGAGGAACACCGGUGGCGAAGGCGGCCAACUGGACGAAUACUGACACUCAGGUGCGACAGCGUGGGGAGCAAACAGG